This 337-nucleotide unclassified non-coding RNA is filed under the name uncultured fungus. RNAcentral describes it as "sequence contains ITS1". The record is from RNAcentral. Lineage: Eukaryota; Fungi.
GUUUCUCAUUGUUUCUCAAUUAAGAGAGAUUUUAUUAAGACAGAUUAGAAAAAAUAUGGUAUUUCAUCUAGGCUGGCGAGCCGCGAUCAGAUCACCCUAAUAGAGUUCUCAGCCACCAGAGCCUCUCCUAGCAGAGGUAGAAGGCAGAAGACUCUUACGGCCCGCAAGAGUCAGCUUCCUCAAUGAUGGAACAAAUCACGACCGCCAAUAGACAUUUCAAUGGUUCACAAGGGUGUUAAUUGAUCCCGCGCCAUGUCCUUGCUUGGCGAACCAGACAAAUUCACGACGCGGUCCCAAAAAAUUGUUAAUGAUCCAACCGCAGGUUCACCUACGGUUA